AGAGAAAAAGAGAUCGUUGUUCUUCACACUCUUACAUUUUGUAGAUCAGAUUCAAACAUUCCGAAUUCCUAGAUCUAUUCCCGCAUUCCAAUUUUUUAUUUGCUAUUUAAAUUUCGAGUUUCCAAAGAUUGAUUGGCGCCGCCAUCCUCUCUGAAGGUGGGUUUUGUGAGUUUGGUCCUAAUUUAGGGUAUGCAUAAUUACCCUAAAUUUGAAGUUAGUCGGCGAUAUCAACACAGAGCAGCAUGAAUUGAAAUAGUGAGAAAUAUAAACAGAGAGACAAGGCUGGGUAGUAGGUACUGAUAUGAUUAGAGUUGUUGGGUAUGUUUGAUAUGGGGCAUGGGGAGAACAAUGAAGAUGGGAACUUGGACGAUGUUGAAGAAGAAGGAAUUGGUGGAGCGGAAACAGGAACAGAACGAUUCCCAAAAUGUUGCAGGCAAAACGAUGUCGUAGAUAACAAAAAACCGCAAUGCCAAGAACAACAUGCGCAGAGCUAAAAAGAGAAAUAGGAGGAAGGGUUCAGGAACAAUCGGUGCCGUCGACACAAGUUUUAACUUUUAAACCCUCUUCCUUAUUUCAAAGCAUUUUUUCUUUUCUUUUGUUUUGUUUUUUUUUUUAUUUAUUGUUUAUCGUCUGGGCCUAGGGAGAUAGAAUAAAGGUUACAUUAUGUUCACGAGACUUCAACUACUCCUGUGAAAUGAAUGCG
RNAcentral lists this long non-coding RNA (703 nucleotides) under Glycine max (soybean). RNAcentral's name for it is "long non-coding RNA (GMAX_LNC003722)". The record is from RNAcentral. Lineage: Eukaryota; Viridiplantae; Streptophyta; Magnoliopsida; Fabales; Fabaceae.